RNAcentral lists this ribosomal RNA (497 nucleotides) under uncultured bacterium. RNAcentral's name for it is "partial 16S ribosomal RNA". It matches the Rfam family "Bacterial small subunit ribosomal RNA", at positions 28 to 507 of the family's 1533-position model. The record is from RNAcentral.
GACGAACGCUGACGGCGUGCCUAAUACAUGCAAGUAGAACGCUGAAGAGAGGAGCUUGCUCUUCUUGGAUGAGUUGCGAACGGGUGAGUAACGCGUAGGUAACCUGCCUUGUAGCGGGGGAUAACUAUUGGAAACGAUAGCUAAUACCGCAUAACAAUGGAUGACACAUGUCAUUUAUUUGAAAGGGGCAAUUGCUCCACUACAAGAUGGACCUGCGUUGUAUUAGCUAGUAGGUGAGGUAACGGCUCACCUAGGCGACGAUACAUAGCCGACCUGAGAGGGUGAUCGGCCACACUGGGACUGAGACACGGCCCAGACUCCUACGGGAGGCAGCAGUAGGGAAUCUUCGGCAAUGGGGGCGACCCUGACCGAGCAACGCCGCGUGAGUGAAGAAGGUUUUCGGAUCGUAAAGCUCUGUUGUAAGUCAAGAACGAGUGUGAGAGUGGAAAGUUCACACUGUGACGGUAGCUUACCAGAAAGGGACGGCUAACUACGUG